This 392-nucleotide ribosomal RNA is filed under the name uncultured bacterium. Its description in RNAcentral is "partial 16S ribosomal RNA". It matches the Rfam family "Bacterial small subunit ribosomal RNA", at positions 523 to 918 of the family's 1533-position model. The record is from RNAcentral.
AUACGGAGGAUGCGAGCGUUAUCCGGAUUUAUUGGGUUUAAAGGGUGCGCAGGCGGCCAUUUAAGUCAGCGGUUAAAUCGUGGGGCUCAACCCCAUUCUGCCGUUGAUACUGGGUGGCUUGAUUGCGGUCGAGGUUGGCGGAAUUCGUUGUGUAGCGGUGAAAUGCAUAGAUAUGACGAAGAACACCGAUUGCGUAGGCAGCUGACCAGAUCGCAAAUGACGCUCAUGCACGAAAGUGCGGGGAUCGAACAGGAUUAGAUACCCUGGUAGUCCGCACAGUAAACGAUGAAUACUUGUUUUCGGCGAUAUAAUGUCGGAGGCAAAGCGAAAGCGAUAAGUAUUCCACCUGGGGAGUACGCCGGCAACGGUGAAACUUAAAGGAAUUGACGGGG